CUGGGUUUGACAUACACCGGAAAACCGUAGAGAUACGGUCCCCCUUGUGGUCGGUGUACAGGUGGUGCAUGGCUGUCGUCAGCUCGUGUCGUGAGAUGUUGGGUUAAGUCCCGCAACGAGCGCAACCCUUGUCUUAUGUUGCCAGCACGUAAUGGUGGGGACUCGUAAGAGACUGCCGGGGUCAACUCGGAGGAAGGUGGGGACGACGUCAAGUCAUCAUGCCCCUUAUGUCCAGGGCUUCACACAUGCUACAAUGGCCAGUACAGAGGGCUGCGAGACCGUGAGGUGGAGCGAAUCCCUUAAAGCUGGUCUCAGUUCGGAUCGGGGUCUGCAACUCGACCCCGUGAAGUCGGAGUCGCUAGUAAUCGCAGAUCAGCAACGCUGCGGUGAAUACGUUCCC
Molecule: ribosomal RNA, 400 nt
Filed under: uncultured bacterium
Lineage: Bacteria
Description: bacterial SSU rRNA
Rfam family: Bacterial small subunit ribosomal RNA
Source: RNAcentral